ACACUCCUACGGGAGGCAGCAGUGGGGAAUUUUGGACAAUGGGCGAAAGCCUGAUCCAGCAAUGCCGCGUGAGUGAAGAAGGCCUUCGGGUUGUAAAGCUCUUUUGUCAGGGAAGAAACGGUGAGAGCUAAUAUCUCUUGCUAAUGACGGUACCUGAAGAAUAAGCACCGGCUAACUACGUGCCAGCAGCCGCGGUAAUACGUAGGGUGCAAGCGUUAAUCGGAAUUACUGGGCGUAAAGCGUGCGCAGGCGGUUUUGUAAGUCUGAUGUGAAAUCCCCGGGCUCAACCUGGGAAUUGCAUUGGAGACUGCAAGGCUAGAAUCUGGCAGAGGGGGGUAGAAUUCCACGUGUAGCAGUGAAAUGCGUAGAUAUGUGGAGGAACACCGAUGGCGAAGGCAGCCCCCUGGGUCAAGAUUGACGCUCAUGCACGAAAGCGUGGGGAGCAAACAGGAUUAGAAACCCGGGUAGUCCCAUG
Molecule: ribosomal RNA, 475 nt
Filed under: uncultured organism
Description: partial 16S ribosomal RNA
Rfam family: Bacterial small subunit ribosomal RNA
Source: RNAcentral